AAGAGCCAUCUGUGAGAUUUUUCUUCAUCUCUCUCUCUCUCUCUCUCUCUCUCUCUCUCUCACCCAUAUUGGUUUUUGAUGUUCAUGAUCUCUUAUGAGUGUUACAAGAGUUCUUCAGUAUAUUUAGGGUUUGACAGUGAUCUUCAUUUUCUUUUUUCACCACAGAUCUGUUUAAAGUUGUGCUAUGACUCAUAUUAAAGAUACCCAUGAAAGCUUCAAAUUGGAAACACUGUUUUGUUUUUGUUUCAUGUAAAUGCUGCUGAUCUAAGAUUAAAGGAUGAAGACAAAGGCCAAGCAUGAGAUGAUAGAGACAACAGCUUCUUGGGUCUUGCCCAUUUACUGCAACAAUUUCCUAGACAUGUUCAGGUGGUGCAAUUACCAAAAUAUCCUCCUCCAAGACUCAAAAUGUGUUAUAGUAUAUGUAGAGUAAUGUCAAGAGGUCUUCCCCUUCAUUUUGGUUUUCUUUUCUUUUUCUAUCAGUCGUUUGUUUAGAUCUUCAAAUUUAUGAAUGGGUUACUCUCUCA
Long non-coding RNA from Camellia sinensis, 524 nucleotides. RefSeq lists it as uncharacterized. Lineage: Eukaryota; Viridiplantae; Streptophyta; Magnoliopsida; Ericales; Theaceae. The record is from RefSeq and is a predicted model, not a curated record.